RNAcentral lists this ribosomal RNA (276 nucleotides) under Triticum aestivum (bread wheat). RNAcentral describes it as "partial small subunit ribosomal RNA". The record is from RNAcentral. Lineage: Eukaryota; Viridiplantae; Streptophyta; Magnoliopsida; Poales; Poaceae.
AUGUGGAACGAUGAGCUCAAAGUCACUGUUCAUGAUGCCACUUUCCACUAUAUAUUAGCUAAUGUUAUCCAUGUAGCCUCCGGGGUCAAUUUUUGUUUGAUCUGUAUAUAUUGUGACCCGUACCACAAGCAGACUUCGGUCAUCUGGGACCAAGUUGCUGCUUUUGUCUAUGAUAACCUAUGUAAACCCAUGGUUUGUAUGGGAGACUUGAACGACAUCUUGUAUGAUAUCGAUGGGUGUAAUGGCAAUAUUAACUACUAUCGUAUGCAUGCUUUC